This is a non-coding RNA of Pelobates cultripes (western spadefoot toad), 501 nucleotides long. The record is from the annotation of a GenBank genome assembly. NCBI's taxonomy places the organism in Eukaryota, Metazoa, Chordata, Amphibia, Anura, Pelobatidae.
GGACGACCUACAUAUAUUAUGUUUUUUCCCCUUAGAUUAGAGUUUUUAAGUUGAUUAGAUAAAAAUGUGUCUGCUCGAUUUCCAAGAUAGAACCACUUCUGUUUCCAUUUAGUUAAAGUUUUAUUUUCUCUAUCAAUCUUGAAGUCUCUAAUUUUCCUCUUAAUUUGCUCUAUCUCUAUGAUAAUUCCUUGUUCCUUAGGGUAGAUUUUCUCUAAAUUAUCUAAUUUCAAAUACAGAUCUGCCAGGGAUUGAUAAUUUACUUUUUUAUUAUCCUCUAAUUACGCAUUUGUAUGCAGCCCAUAUAUUUCCCACACUAACCUCUUCAUUUAAGAGGUUCUUAACUACUCCUUAAAGUAUAAGUUAGAGUUCACAAUUAUUUCCUCUAGUGUUCUCUUAUCAUUCAAUAUAGAGUCUCUGAGUUUCCAAUUACCCCUUUUAAGGGUAUAAUCCAUCUCAAUUGCCCUAGAUAUUGGGUUAUGAUCUGAUAUAGUUAUCUUAUUG